This 292-nucleotide ribosomal RNA is filed under the name uncultured bacterium. RNAcentral describes it as "partial 16S ribosomal RNA". It matches the Rfam family "Bacterial small subunit ribosomal RNA", at positions 505 to 796 of the family's 1533-position model. The record is from RNAcentral.
GUGUCAGCAGCCGCGGUAAGACAGAGGUGGCAAGCGUUGUUCGGAAUCACUGGGCUUAAAGGGCACGUAGGCGGCCCGGCAAGUCGGAUGUGAAAUCCCCUGGCUUAACCAGGGAACUGCAUCCGAAACUACCGGGCUCGAGCGCAGGAGGGGAGAGCGGAACUCCUAGUGGAGCGGUGAAAUGCGUAGAUAUUAGGAGGAACGCCGGUGGCGAAAGCGGCUCUCUGGCCUGCAGCUGACGCUGAGGUGCGAAAGCUAGGGGAGCAAACAGGAUUAGAUACCCCCGUAGUCC